GCUAACUAAGUGGGUCACCUCUUUGCUUUUCGAAUGAGGACUGAGCUUCACUACCUCUUUGGCAUACCAAUAAACCCAGCAACAAGAAAAAGAAACAAUGUUCAUUAUGCCGCUGCAUGGGGACUUUCUUUAAGAGUUUGGGCAGUAAAUGGUUUUUAAUCCCAGGAUGCAAUGAUUGUGAUAAUGUAAGCCAAGCAAAGUGAGCGUCGGUAAUAAAAUCAUUUCAAAUAUGAACAGAAUAAAAAAUUGGUCAGAAGGAUCUUGUUACGAGUGACACAAAUCUGGAAUCUUAUAAUUCUGUUCUCAGCCUGCUAACUAUUUGGCAUUCUAAAGGAUAUAUAUAUUGCACAGCUACUCCUGAGUAAGGCCCAGAAGUCUGCCCAAUCCCUUGUAACUGCUGAGGCAACAAAUGAAGGCAACGGCUUGCUGGAAGACCCUAGGACCAUCACUCAUAGAUGUCCACAUUUCAGAACCCACUCCAUCCCACUUUGAUUCAAUUCCCUUUUGUUGCUUAAAAAUUCAAUUUGUUUAAUUGAGCUGUUGGACAGUAAAAUCUGAAUUCCAUGCAUUUUAACCAUUCAUAUUAAAUUUCUCUUCGCAUAGUACUUGUUAUUAAUAGGCUUUAAGAGAGGUCACUUUAAUAUAAAUGUGAUGACCUUACAAGCUUAUUAAAUGAUCUAUAUGCUUCUUUCCUCAAACUGAAAUUAAAUUGAAUAAAUGGAAGAUAAUGGCACAAUAGAUAUUUCUUCUCAAGGCUUUGAGAUCUUUUGAGGAGGUAUAAAACAGAUGUGAAGUACAAUUGACAUGUCUCGGUCUCUGUCCUUAGCAGUAAAAAUAAUAAAAUAAAAUACAGUGUGGUGGUAAAAUCUGAAGUUCUGUGAUAGCAUUAUGAAAACUAAUAAACUCGUAUUGUCUUUUUUGGCAUUUAAUAAUACAUUUACCCUUGGAACUUGUGUGGUAUUAUAUAACAAAUGCGUAUAAUGGCAUUUGGGUGGUUGAAGGGGGGUUGUUUUUAACAGGGGUUACGUGUUACUGACAUUUAAAUAGCACAACAUCUUUCCCUUCAGGAUUAAUAAAUACCAUGCAAACCAGCAUAAGACUUUAAGGUUUACUAAACUUUAAUCUGUAAAAUUUAAUAGCAAUCUCCAUCUCGUUAUGUGUAUACAGAAUCCUGGUUGGCUCUGCAAAUACUUUUAAGCUAUGAAUUAUGUUACAAGAAUGGGUUUGCUGUGUAUCAUUAUGUCCAGGUAAAUGCCAGAAUGAUGACAUAAUUGGUAGUUGGGAGUAAAAUACAACCCCAGUAAAAUGUUACUAAGGUAAACGUAGCCGGAUUGUAAUUCAUUAUACAUAAACAUGAUGACUUGUGUUAUUUAUCAUUUUGUGGAAUGCGGAAUAAACCGAGCUCUGAGAGCUUUCUUCGUUACUUUAUUCCAAAUAGUAACAAUGCUAUAGUCAGAGGGUUUUCUCAUUUAUUUCUAUACUUAUUUAUAUAUUUAAAGACGCACCCGUUCUUUACUGUCCUACUCUGGGAAAUAUUUCCAGAACUCCUUGCUAGUCGGAGCUAAGACGCCUGAAAUACAAAGACCUGAAAAGAAAGGAAAGGGGGGGGGGGACUCCUAGCCUCAUUAAGAAUGAUAUCUUGCCACUUUCAGACACUGACAAAUUUAUGACUUUGGAUUAAAGGUCAUAUGGGCAUUUCAGCCAUUAAAGCAGUUCCAUUUCAUAAUACCUGCAACCUUAAGGAAAUACAUUUCUUUCCCCACAUAGAUGUUUGUUAUGUUAGUUUCUGCUAAAGACAUACAGUAAUAGUUUGGAAGCAACAAAAGCCUAUUUUGUACCUGUUCAGCUUGCAAGUGUGCCUGCCUCAGGCUACUGUUUAACUUUUAACCCUCUUGUUCACAUAGCGUACAUGCAUAAAAACUACAAUGUACCACAUAACGAUGCAAAGCUUGCAGUCUUUUCGUUCAGACUGUUUGUCAAAAGAUGAGCUGGUCUCGGCUUUUAAAAUUAGCUCGGGAAAUAGCAAGGCAAAGCAAGCUGGGUAGAGCGUUUUCCUAUGAAAUGAACGCAUUGGGCUGUUUAAUGAGAUCUGAUACAUUUCUUUUAUGUUAAUAAAACUUUGAAACUAUAGGAAGUAAGUCCCUAAAAUGAUUUGUAGGAAUAAAGCCUU
Long non-coding RNA from Anolis carolinensis (green anole), 2170 nucleotides. RefSeq lists it as uncharacterized. The record is from RefSeq and is a predicted model, not a curated record. The transcript has 3 exons. Lineage: Eukaryota; Metazoa; Chordata; Lepidosauria; Squamata; Anolidae.